UCUACCACAUGGCGAAGAGUGGAGGAAAUUCCCAGCAGCAUAUGGCCCAGGCCUUGCAGCAGUGUGGAGGUCCAACUUGCAGCUAUGAUGGACAGUUGCAUGGAAGCUCAGACUCUCACUGAGUGAAUGCCUCAAAUGAUUCCAAUCUCUGCUUUUCUGCCCAGAAGACUUGUAGGGUCUCCCAGUUUCUGUGUCCUUACCAAGGAACACAGAGUGCCUUGACCACUCUGUGACCCAGACAGCUGUAUUUCUUUUGCAGGCUUGAAACCAAGCAGAGGCCUUUAACAUUCCCAGGCACUGAUAAGGUGUCUAGGUUGUUGCCCAAAACAUCAAAUGAAACUAGCCCUGGCCCUGAGCCAAUUUCCUUAAACACUCAUAUAAACUCCAUACCCUGACUCCCUCAAUGCAGACAUACCUAAGUAGGACAUCCGUUUUCUCUAGUCUGUUGCAAGGAUCUGCUGCAGUCCAUGCUGUAUGUAUUUCUCCUAAUAAAUGCUUUGGACUGAUCA
Long non-coding RNA from Galeopterus variegatus (Sunda flying lemur), 509 nucleotides. RefSeq lists it as uncharacterized. The transcript is spliced from 2 exons. Lineage: Eukaryota; Metazoa; Chordata; Mammalia; Dermoptera; Cynocephalidae. The record is from RefSeq and is a predicted model, not a curated record.